RNAcentral lists this ribosomal RNA (397 nucleotides) under uncultured bacterium. Its description in RNAcentral is "bacterial SSU rRNA". It matches the Rfam family "Bacterial small subunit ribosomal RNA", at positions 362 to 776 of the family's 1533-position model. The record is from RNAcentral.
UCUUGCACAAUGGGGGAAACCCUGAUGCAGCGACGCCGCGUGAGCGAUGAAGCCCUUCGGGGUGUAAAGCUCUUUCGGCAGGAACGAUAAUGACGGUACCUGCAGAAGAAGCUGCGGCUAACUACGUGCCAGCAGCCGCGGUAAUACGUAGGCAGCGAGCGUUGUUCGGAGUUACUGGGCGUAAAGAGUAUGUAGGCGGUUCUCCAAGUCUGGUGUGAAAUCUCCCGGCUCAACCGGGAGGGUGCAUUGGAAACUGGGGGGCUGGAGUGCGGGAGAGGGAAGCGGAAUUCCUGGUGUAGCGGUGAAAUGCGUAGAUAUCAGGAGGAACACCCGCGGUGUAGACGGCUUCCUGGACCGUAACUGACGCUGAGAUACGAAAGCGUGGGGAGCAAACAGG